Molecule: ribosomal RNA, 484 nt
Filed under: uncultured bacterium
Lineage: Bacteria
Description: partial 16S ribosomal RNA
Rfam family: Bacterial small subunit ribosomal RNA
Source: RNAcentral
AUUGAACGCUGGCGGCAGGCCUAACACAUGCAAGUCGAGCGAUAGAGAGAAGCUUGCUUCUCUUGAGAGCGGCGGACGGGUGAGUAAUGCCUAGGAAUCUGCCUGGUAGUGGGGGAUAACGUUCGGAAACGGCCGCUAAUACCGCAUACGUCCUACGGGAGAAAGCAGGGGACCUUCGGGCCUUGCGCUAUCAGAUGAGCCUAGGUCGGAUUAGCUAGUUGGUGGGGUAAUGGCUCACCAAGGCGACGAUCCGUAACUGGUCUGAGAGGAUGAUCAGUCACACUGGAACUGAGACACGGUCCAGACUCCUACGGGAGGCAGCAGUGGGGAAUAUUGGACAAUGGGCGAAAGCCUGAUCCAGCCAUGCCGCGUGUGUGAAGAAGGUCUUCGGAUUGUAAAGCACUUUAAGUUGGGAGGAAGGGCAGUAAAUUAAUACUUUGCUGUUUUGACGUUACCGACAGAAUAAGCACCGGCUAACUCUGUG